AGAGGGUGCGAGCGUUGUUCGGAAUUACUGGGCGUAAAGCGCGCGCAGGCGGCCCUUUAAGUCCGUCGGUCAAAUGCCGGGGCUCAACCCCGAGCGUGCCGAGGAUACUGGAGGGCUGGAGACACGUAGAGGCAAGCGGAAUUCCGGGUGUAGCGGUGGAAUGCGUAGAGAUCCGGAAGAACACCGGAGGCGAAGGCGGCUUGCUGGGCGUGAUCUGACGCUGAGGCGCGAAAGCGUGGGGAGCGAACAGGAUUAGAUACCCUGGUAGUCCACGCCGUAAACGAUGGGCACUAGACGCUGGUGGGAUCGACCCCUUCGGUGUCGCAGCUAACGCGAUAAGUGCCCCGCCUGGGGAGUACGGCCGCAAGGCUG
RNAcentral lists this ribosomal RNA (372 nucleotides) under uncultured bacterium. RNAcentral's name for it is "bacterial SSU rRNA". It matches the Rfam family "Bacterial small subunit ribosomal RNA", at positions 527 to 896 of the family's 1533-position model. The record is from RNAcentral.